RNAcentral lists this ribosomal RNA (342 nucleotides) under Glossilus sp. GLONH6. RNAcentral's name for it is "eukaryotic LSU rRNA". It matches the Rfam family "Eukaryotic large subunit ribosomal RNA", at positions 666 to 944 of the family's 3401-position model. Lineage: Eukaryota; Metazoa; Arthropoda; Arachnida; Trombidiformes; Eriophyidae. The record is from RNAcentral.
CCAAGGAGUCUAAUUAGGCAUCGAGUCGAUCGGUCUUGAUAGGCCAGAGUGGUUAGUUUCGACUAGCCGAAUGAAGGCGUAGAGAAAUCAAAUCAUGUGAUCGUUUGUGGCUCAAACAAGCCUGGACGCGCAACAUGUGCCUGUUCUCAAGGCAAUGUAUGUUUGAAAUAUAAUAUACUUGCCGAGCGGAGCAAAGAGAUGCUUGAUUGGUACCCGAAAGAUGGUGAACUAUGCCUGGGCAAAUUGAAGCCAGAGGAAACUCUGGUGGAGGAUUGUAGCGAUUCUGACGUGCAAAUCGAUCGUCAGACCUGGGUAUAGGGGCGAAAGACUAAUCGAACCAUC